Molecule: ribosomal RNA, 1422 nt
Filed under: Zygaena romeo adumbrata
Lineage: Eukaryota; Metazoa; Arthropoda; Insecta; Lepidoptera; Zygaenidae
Description: 16S ribosomal RNA
Source: RNAcentral
UAAAUUUAAUAAUUAAUAAUAAAAAUAUUAAUAAAAAAAUUUUUAGUGAAAAUUAUACAUACAUAUAUAUAUAUAUAUAUAUAUAUAUAUAUAAAUAUAUAUUGUUUUAGUAUUUUUUAUAGAAAAAAUUAAAAAAUUUAUAAUAAAUAAGUAUUGUGAAAGAAUUUUGAAAUAAUUGAAAAUUAAUUUUUUUAAAAGUAAUUUUAUUUAGUGUAUCUUGUGUAUCAGAGUUUAUUAAAAAAAAUUUUUAAAAAAAAAUUUCUCGAAUUAAAAAGAGCUAUUAAAUUAAAAAAAUUAUUGUUUCAUAAAUAUUUUUAAUAAUUUAAUUGAAAUGAAAUGUUAAUCGUUUUUUAAGAUAUCUAGUUUUUUUAGAAAAAAAUUUAAUUUAAAAUUUUAAAAAUAAAAUAAUUUUUUAUUUAAUUAUUUAAUUUAGAAUUUAAAUAUUUUAAGGGAUAAGCUUUAAAAUAAAUUUUUAUAAGAAUAUAUAAAAUAAAUUUUAAGAAUUUUAUAAUUUAUAUUGUUAAAUAAAUUUUAAUUUAUUAUAAAUAAUUUUAUUAAAAAUAAAAAUUUAAAAUAUUUCUUUAAUUUUAUAUAAAAAAAAAAUAAUUAAUAAUAUAUUUUUGGUUAUAAUGAUAAAAUUAGUAUAUAAUAGAAUUAAUUAAAAUAUGUCUAAUUUAUAUUAAAAUUAAUUAAAAAGAAUUCGGCAAAUUUAAUUUAUUUAUAUUCACCUGUUUAUCAAAAACAUGUCUUUUUGUGAUAAUUUAAAGUCUAAUCUGCCCACUGAUUAAUAUUAAAGGGCUGCAGUAUUUUGACUGUACAAAGGUAGCAUAAUCAUUAGUCUCUUAAUUGGUGACUUGUAUGAAUGAUUGGAUGAAAUAUAAGCUGUUUCUUAAUUAUUUAUAAAAUUUAAUUUUUUUAUCAAAAAGUAAAAAUAAGUUUAAAAGACGAGAAGACCCCAUAGAGUUUUAUAUAAAUAGAUAAUUUAAAAAUUAUAUAUUCAAGAAAUUUAUUAAGAUUAUUUAUUAUAUUUUAUUGGGGUGAUAAAAAAAUUAAAUAAACUUUUUUAUAUUUUUUUCCAUAGAUAAGUGAAUAUAUGAUCCAUUAUUAUUGAUUAAAAGAAAAAAUUACCUUGGGGAUAACAGCGUAAUUUUUUUUUUUAGUUCAAAUAGGAAAAAGAGUUUGCGACCUCGAUGUUGGAUUAAGAUAAAAUUUAAAUGCAAAAGUUUAAAAUUUUGAUCUGUUCGAUCAUUAAAAUCUUACAUGAUCUGAGUUCAAACCGGUGUAAGCCAGGUUGGUUUCUAUCUUUAAAUAAGUUAAAAUAUUUUAGUACGAAAGGAUCAAAUAUUUAAAAUAAUUUUUAGAAAAAAAAAGAAUUUUAUUAAAUUAGUUAAAAAUUAAAAAUUGUAAAUUUUUUAAGGGGAA